Long non-coding RNA from Sphaeramia orbicularis (orbiculate cardinalfish), 481 nucleotides. RefSeq lists it as uncharacterized. NCBI's taxonomy places the organism in Eukaryota, Metazoa, Chordata, Actinopteri, Kurtiformes, Apogonidae. The transcript is spliced from 3 exons. The record is from RefSeq and is a predicted model, not a curated record.
GACUUUUACCUCACUGAAAGCUACAACUUUACCCUGGACAACAGCCUGUUUAGUUCUGACACCUUUGCAUAUUAUGAUGGUUUCCUAUCAGAGGAAGACCGGCCCUCCUUCCCCCAGACCUCUCUCACUUAUGCAGUUGCAGUAGCCUGUUGAUCCCUAAGAUGUCUGGUAGCGUUAAUAGUAUGUGAGAGUCAGCAGGUGAAGAUGGAUGGCCUGCCGCUGGGGAGAUGGAUGACUCUUCAAGGGAGGAAAUUACCAAGAGUGAUUGAUCUUCCAGGCAAAAACUGUUGCUUCUUAGCACCAUUUCUCCAGAGCUGAGGGAGCAGCAGUCAUUCUCAGUGGAUCCUCUGCGAGACGUCUCAUAUGAGCUCAGCUGGCUAUCCCUCCCAGUCGAGUCUGGAGACAUUAGUCCAUGGUUUCUUUCACCCACAAUGUUCUUAUCAAUGUUCUUAUUAAAAGUGUGGUACUUUUUUGUUCCUGA